Olea europaea var. sylvestris is the source of this 564-nucleotide long non-coding RNA. RefSeq lists it as uncharacterized. NCBI's taxonomy places the organism in Eukaryota, Viridiplantae, Streptophyta, Magnoliopsida, Lamiales, Oleaceae. The record is from RefSeq and is a predicted model, not a curated record. The transcript has 6 exons.
UCCAAAUUGAAAUCCCAUUUAUGCCAAACGCUUGUCUCCGUCUCUCGUCUCUCUCGACUUCUCCUUCCAGUUCCAGAGUUCCAGUGCUAGUCUUCCAGUUCCAGAGUUCCAGAUUUCAUCUUCACAGAUUUUUCAAACACUCUUUGUAACUGGGCUUCAUCUGACAUAUCGCUUCUGUCGAGUGGCUGGGCAUUUUUGUUGUCGAACAAGUGAGCUCGAGACUUCGAGUUCCUAUAUGUGGGCCGUAGGUCGGUGGGGACUGGGGUAUAAUCUAAUUGGAGUCUGGAGAGAGGCGUGAGAACUGAGACGUGAGUGCAUGAAUCGUCGUCUUAUCCAUUGUGUUCAACUUCCAUAUUAGGGAUCUGACUCGUGAGUUGUGACAGUGGAAUUUUCGAAGGUGUAACUCUACAGUUUUCGUUGAAAUUCUACUUCUCAGGAUCAACAAUUGCACAGGCGUACAUAAUAACUAUAUUGAGAACUCUAACUGCCCCGACAAUUACAGGAGCGGCCCUGGUAGUGUUCUAUAACAAAGGACACCAUGGACGUCGAUUCGCAGCAGACCAU